This is a long non-coding RNA of Solea solea (common sole), 2845 nucleotides long. RefSeq lists it as uncharacterized. Lineage: Eukaryota; Metazoa; Chordata; Actinopteri; Pleuronectiformes; Soleidae. The transcript has 3 exons. The record is from RefSeq and is a predicted model, not a curated record.
CCGACUAUCUUCUCAUCCCAAUUGGAUCCAGCUCUCCUCUCUCUAACUGCACGAGACCUGAAUCAUGUUUAAAGUUGCUGAUGGGAUGGCACGGAGCAUGGCAUGGCCUCGGGGUUGGACAAGGUGUGAAACAAUGGUGGUGUGGGCGUUGGCAAAGGCUCCUCAGUUGAAGGACAGUCGGCUCAGUCUGGUUCUCUCAUGGCUGGCACCGUCUCACAGCUCUGGAUGCAGCCUGUCCUGGGAUCACACACAAGUAUCAUCGGAGCAGACGUGUCUUGGCCGAGCCCGUGUCACGGCGUCCUCAGUGAUGCCUUCUUGUGUUUCUCGUUUGUCGGCUCUGGAACACGCAGCUCACACACACACUCAGUGUUCACUUUAUGAAUCUGACCGUUUUACUAAAGUAAUGAGAUGAAGUGUCUCUUCUGAUUGAGACUCUGUCUGAUGACAUCAGCGCUUAUCUUUACCGUAUAAAUAAUGAUAUUCAUCCUGACUGAGGAUUAUUUUCAGUUGUGAAAGUCAGCGGUUCUUUACUUACAGUCUAACACACAGAUCAUGGUGAUGCUUGUCUGAUAUGAAGCCAACUCAACUCCCUUAUUUGGUUUGAACGUUCCACAGCUCGGUCUGCACACAGACGGAGAUGUAGAAGGAAACAACUUUAUCUGGAUGGCGCUCUUGAGUUGGGUUUCUGUUGGACUGUAGGGAGGACGUCACACCAGGAAAGGUUUGAUCAAUGAUAUUUGCAUACGUCGCUGCGACAAACCAGAAUAUUUAGAGGAACAGAUGCUGAACUAGAGAAGGAUAUUAGAUGUGUCCCUGACUAUUCAACCUUUAGCUCUGCUAUGAACACUGCUUCCCUGUGUCAUCUAACCAGGCCUCUCAAUUGUGUGUAUUUAAAUUGUCUUCAUCAGUGUCUUCAUCAAACAGAGUCUUCUGUGACAACUCAAAUCUUUGUUUUCAAAAAGUGCUUCUAAUCCAAACUAAUGUACGUUCCCUUGUUCUUCUUCCAUCCUUUGACUCAUACACGGUCGUACAGACAGAUGGAAACUAUUUCACUCAUAAUUUGUGAUUGUUUUUUCUGACAUCACUCGCAGGCUUGUGGUUAUUUUUGGAAAAUCCCUGAACAAAUUGACACCACGCCCAACUUUCAGCAACAGUUUACGAUGAUGUCAAUGAUGCUGUACGUUCACUAUGGGACAUAUUUGCUUUUACACUGAUGCAAGUGUCUUUCCUAUAGAAUGUGGAAGUGAAACCUGCCUUUGUGUCCGUAUCAUAGGCUCCGCCCUCCCCCUCUUUUGUGUUAAAUAAAGCACGACUCAAACUCGCCGAUAGACAUGUCACGCAUAGAUUUUAUGAUGACAUUCAAAGCCACAAUGUCACCAUCUCAUUUAAGGCCUUAAGGUACAAAUGAGUCAUUUCAUUCGUCUCAGAAUGAGUUUUUACACCAUGGAAAACCAAUAGAUCACUUUAGUCAUUGUGUAAAUCUCAACGGCUGAACCUAAGAAACUCAAUGUGAUGCUAUCGAUCAGAUGGAGAGAUUAGCAUGCAAAUGACCCUCAUAGAUCAUCUUUCUGAGCAUAGGGUAAUGGCUGCUGAAUGAUACUUAUCAAGCUCCGUAAGUGCUCCCUCCAAUAAUACAUCAUUCAGGUCAUUUGUAUUGGGAUUGGAGAGUUGAUGGAUAUGGGAUUACCACUUAACCUUGGAGUCAUUCCAAGACUCAGCUUAAAUCUUCUAAUACAUUAUCUGUCCCAUAACAGCUUGACCAGUGUUUAAUGCAAAAAUGUGUUUUAUGUGAUGAAUGAAACUGGAGGUUUGAGAGAGCGAUUCAUCACACACGGAUAAAGUCAUGACAGGAACAUCCUUUUAUUUUCACUGUGCACCUGAACUCUAACUGUCACCCUCACAGACAGACAGACAGACAGACAGACAUGACACACGCCUCCUGCUAACAAAGAAAACUAAGAUAACGUAAUCCUCAGAAACAGAGUUGUUAUGUGUUUAGUGUAAUGUGACACUUCUAAUAACAUGAUCACAUGUUUGUUGAGAGUCGCUGGUCGAUGUUGUGAGAAGCUCAUUCCUUCUCUGAAAACGGUCAAACAUGAGGAAGAUUACACACAUGUUUCAUAUUGUGAGUAAAAAUGUCACUAUUGUCUCCUAAAAUGUAUAUUCCUACACAAAUAAUCAAUCAUUUCUGAAAAUAACUUUAUAGAGCGUACUUAUCAAUGUAGUCGUGUUAUAUUUUCUCCUGAUGAAAAAACCAGUGUGUGUUUGAAUGUUUUUUCUUCAUCUGUUCCAUGUAAAAACACAUCAAAUGUCCUCAUAGAGUCAUUAAAACACUCUUAACCUGAUCUUCCUUAUGAACAUUCAUCUGAUUUCAUUUGUUUAGUUGAGUGAAAAAAGUGCACACAUACAAUCUGGUUGCCAUUGUAGCUGGCAUGCUAACACGUGCUAAUUAGCACUGGGCACAAAGAAUGAACGAUGUAGCGACAAGUUGACGAGUCAUCAUCAAAGUUGUGAAAUUCCACCGUGUGGACGUCAUAAAUGUCUGAACUCAAUUCAACAACUCACCAAAUAUUUAAGUAGUAAAAAAAAAACACAUUAAAAGGAAAAUGGUGUUUCUGAAGGAAAAAGUCGGCCAUCAUCAAAGUCCAUGGACGUCCUCUGGGGAAUGUAAAAAAGACUGAGAAUUGUGUGUGUGUGUGUGUGUGUGUGUUACACACACCCUCAUAGACACAACGCACUCCCUCGACCCUUAACCUAACUUUAACCAUCACUAAUAAGUUUCCUAACACUAACUCUAACCCUAAAACCAGGUCUAAACCCCCAAAAAGACCUUUAAAGAAGUCCG